GACGAACGCUGGCGGCGUGCUUAACACAUGCAAGUCGAGCGGUAAGGUCCUUUCGGGGGUAUACGAGCGGCGAACGGGUGAGUAACACGUGAGCAACCUGCCCUUCUCUUUGGAAUAAGCGUUGGAAACGACGUCUAAUGCCGAAUAUGACCCCCUGUCGCAUGGUGGGGGGUGGAAAGCUCUGGCGGAGAAGGAUGGGCUCGCGGCCUAUCAGCUUGUUGGUGUGGGUAAUGGCCCACCAAGGCGACGACGGGUAGCCGGCCUGUGAGGGUGACCGGCCACACUGGGACUGAGACACGGCCCAGACCCCUACGGGAGGCAGCAGUGGGGAAUAUUGGACAAUGGGCGAAAGCCUGACCCAGCAACGCCGCGUGAGGGAUGACGGCCUUCGGGUUGUAAACCUCUUUCAGCAGGGACGAAGCGAGAGUGACGGUACCUGCAGAAGAAGGACCGGCCAACUACGUGCCAGCCGCCGCGGUAA
RNAcentral lists this ribosomal RNA (481 nucleotides) under uncultured bacterium. Its description in RNAcentral is "partial 16S ribosomal RNA". It matches the Rfam family "Bacterial small subunit ribosomal RNA", at positions 28 to 523 of the family's 1533-position model. The record is from RNAcentral.